UACGUAGGGUGCGAGCGUUGUCCGGAUUUAUUGGGCGUAAAGGGCUCGUAGGCGGCGUGUCGCGUCGGGAGUGAAAGCCCGUUGCUUAACGGCGGGUUGGCUUUCGGUACGGGCAUGCUGGAGUGCGGCAGGGGAGACUGGAAUUCCUGGUGUAGCGGUGGAAUGCGCAGAUAUCAAGUGGAACACCAGUGGCGAAGGCGAGUCUCUGGACAUUUCCUGACGCUGAGGAGCGAAAGUGUGGGGAGCGAACAGG
RNAcentral lists this ribosomal RNA (253 nucleotides) under uncultured bacterium. Its description in RNAcentral is "partial 16S ribosomal RNA". It matches the Rfam family "Bacterial small subunit ribosomal RNA", at positions 524 to 776 of the family's 1533-position model. The record is from RNAcentral.